This 476-nucleotide ribosomal RNA is filed under the name uncultured bacterium. Its description in RNAcentral is "bacterial SSU rRNA". It matches the Rfam family "Bacterial small subunit ribosomal RNA", at positions 30 to 502 of the family's 1533-position model. The record is from RNAcentral.
AUUGAACGCUGGCGGCAUGCCUUACACAUGCAAGUCGAACGGCAGCACGGGAGCAAUCCUGGUGGCGAGUGGCGAACGGGUGAGUAAUAUAUCGGAACGUGCCCAGUCGUGGGGAUAACGUAGCGAAAGCUACGCUAAUACCGCAUACGAUCUAUGGAUGAAAGCGGGGGAUCGCAAGACCUCGCGCGAUUGGAGCGGCCGAUAUCAGAUUAGGUAGUUGGUGAGGUAAAGGCUCACCAAGCCAACGAUCUGUAGCUGGUCUGAGAGGACGACCAGCCACACUGGAACUGAGACACGGUCCAGACUCCUACGGGAGGCAGCAGUGGGGAAUUUUGGACAAUGGACGCAAGUCUGAUCCAGCCAUUCCGCGUGCAGGAUGAAGGCCCUCGGGUUGUAAACUGCUUUGUUACGAACGAAAAGGUUUGUCUAAUACGAUGAGCUCAUGACGGUACCGUAAGAAUAAGCACCGGCUAACU